UGAACUACAUAUUGAGACC
This 19-nucleotide non-coding RNA is filed under the name Mus musculus (house mouse). Lineage: Eukaryota; Metazoa; Chordata; Mammalia; Rodentia; Muridae. The record is from RNAcentral.